RNAcentral lists this ribosomal RNA (116 nucleotides) under Pteropus alecto (black flying fox). Lineage: Eukaryota; Metazoa; Chordata; Mammalia; Chiroptera; Pteropodidae. The record is from RNAcentral.
GUCUAUAGCCAUGCCACCCUGAACAAGCCCGAUGUCUGAUCUCAGAAGCUAAGCAGGGUCAGGUCUGGUUAGUACUUGGAUGGGAGGCCACCUAGGAAGACCAGGUGCUGUAGGCA